This 549-nucleotide ribosomal RNA is filed under the name uncultured Glomus. RNAcentral describes it as "SSU rRNA". It matches the Rfam family "Eukaryotic small subunit ribosomal RNA", at positions 548 to 1098 of the family's 1831-position model. Lineage: Eukaryota; Fungi; Glomeromycota; Glomeromycetes; Glomerales; Glomeraceae. The record is from RNAcentral.
UUGGAGGGCAAGUCUGGUGCCAGCAGCCGCGGUAAUUCCAGCUCCAAUAGCGUAUAUUAAAGUUGUUGCAGUUAAAAAGCUCAUAGUUGAAUUUCGGGGUCAGUAGGUUGGUCAUGCCACUGGUAUGUACUGGCCUCACUGAUUCCUCCUUCCUGAUGAGCCGUAAUGCCAUUAAUUUGGUGUUGCGAGGAAUCUGGACUGUUACUUUGAAAAAAUUAGAGUGUUUAAAGCAGGCUAACGCUUGAAUACAUUAGCAUGGAAUAAUGAAAUAGGACGUUCGAUCUUAUUUUGUUGGUUUCUAAGAUUGACGUAAUGAUUAAUAGGGAUAGUUGGGGGCAUUAGUAUUCAAUUGUCAGAGGUGAAAUUCUUGGAUUUAUUGAAGACUAACUACUGCGAAAGCAUUUGCCAAGGAUGUUUUCAUUAAUCAAGAACGAAAGUUAGGGGAUCGAAGACGAUCAGAUACCGUCGUAGUCUUAACCAUAAACUAUGCCGACUAGGGAUCGGAUGUUGUUAAUUUUUUAAUGACUCAUUCGGCGCCUUACGGGAAAC